Molecule: ribosomal RNA, 717 nt
Filed under: Butyrivibrio sp. G36
Lineage: Bacteria; Bacillati; Bacillota; Clostridia; Lachnospirales; Lachnospiraceae
Description: bacterial SSU rRNA
Rfam family: Bacterial small subunit ribosomal RNA
Source: RNAcentral
UCAGGAUGAACGCUGGCGGCGUGCCUAACACAUGCAAGUCGAACGGAGAUUUGACGCUGCAGAGACUUCGGUCAAAGCUUGUUAAAUCUUAGUGGCGGACGGGUGAGUAACGCGUGGGCAACCUGCCUCAUACUGGGGGAUAACAGUUGGAAACGACUGUUAAUACCGCAUAAGCGCACAGUAUCGCAUGAUACAGUGUGAAAAACUCCGGUGGUAUGAGAUGGGCCCGCGUCAGAUUAGCUAGUUGGCGGGGUAACGGCCCACCAAGGCGACGAUCUGUAGCCGGACUGAGAGGUCGGACGGCCACAUUGGGACUGAGACACGGCCCAAACUCCUACGGGAGGCAGCAGUGGGGGAUAUUGCACAAUGGAGGAAACUCUGAUGCAGCGACGCCGCGUGAGUGAAGAAGUAUUUCGGUAUGUAAAGCUCUAUCAGCAGGGAAGAAAGGCUCGAAAGAGAGAUGACGGUACCUGACUAAGAAGCCCCGGCUAACUACGUGCCAGCAGCCGCGGUAAUACGUAGGGGGCAAGCGUUAUCCGGAUUUACUGGGUGUAAAGGGAGCGCAGACGGUCAAGCAAGUCUGAAGUGAAACCCCACGGCUCAACCGUGGGCUUGCUUUGGAAACUGUUUGACUAGAGUACUGGAGAGGUAAGCGGAAUUCCUAGUGUAGCGGUGAAAUGCGUAGAUAUUAGGAGGAACAUCGGUGGCGAAGGCGGC